Molecule: long non-coding RNA, 1494 nt
Organism: Physeter macrocephalus (sperm whale)
Lineage: Eukaryota; Metazoa; Chordata; Mammalia; Artiodactyla; Physeteridae
Exons: 4
Source: RefSeq, a predicted model, not a curated record
AAGCCACUCCAGGGUCCCCUGAACCUGCAUGUAGUGGUACCUCUCCGCCCCUGGCCCACGCUCAGACCCUAGGCUCUCAGUCGAUCAAAGCCUGCAUGUGUUAAAUGUCUGAAGUAUGGCAGGUCACCCCUGCUACUUUUGACCUUUUGCUCUGAUUUCCUUUUGAAAGAGAAAUAGCACUUAUACGAUGUAAAGCAAACAAGGCUGUAUGAGAAUUGCUUGAGCAUGUGCGGCGCGGGGAUGAUGGCGCGUUACAGGACAAUGCCCAGAGGACCUCAAGGCGCUCACUUGGUAUAAGCUGUGCUCAAAACAUCUACGGUUUUCCUGAGAGCAGGAGGGAAGCUCUAAGUUGGGCCUGGGCUCUGCCCACCGGGCUACGCUGAUGCCCUGGGGGAGGCAAAAAAGGGGUAGGCGUUGGUCCCAUUUUACAAGUGGGCAACCUUCGCUGAAGGAGGGCAUGCGUCGGCCCCAAUUCUACGCAGAUGGUGCUGCGACCAGAUAAGGUCAGGAACCCAGAAGCCAGGAUCUCAUCUGACGCAGACCCUGCGAGAGGCAGGCAGUGAGAACGCACUCCGCCCGGAGUCUGUGGCGUUGCCUCUCUGCGCCCAACAGGAAUGCGGGGAUCGCGAGUCUCCCAGAUCAGGUCUCUGCUCCGGGUCUGGGAACCCUGGGGCGUCCGAGAGCGCUGGCCCCGCCCCGCGGUUCCUCCGCGCCCCGCGAUUGGCUCCGCGGGCCGGGGCGGGGCCGGACGCCCAGCCGACGUGAUGGACGGCGUCAGGCGCCGCGGGAACCGCUUCCUGUUGUCAGUGGUCUGGAGGCCGCAGCGUCUGGUCGGAGGUUUAGGGGCUGCAGCGGCCGGGAGUGCCCCCGUCCCCCUCCCCACUCCGUUUGCAGCUGGAUGGCUUAAACGUCAGGCUGUUUGUUCUGAACAGCCCGGUACAGGAUUGGAUUCAGGCUGUAGAGAGGAGGCUGUUGGGAAUGGCUGAGAAGUCUCUAAGGAGAAGAGGUUGCUGUUUACCUAUGGAUGGAGUGUUUCAGAAGCGGGGAAGCCAAGCCAUCCAUUUCUUCGUUUAAUGUGUCAUGUGAUUCUUCUGGGGAGCUGCUGCUUGAGUGGAAAUGCUCUCAGCGGUGGAGAAUGGACUGGACCCCCGGGCUGCCAUCCCGAAAGAGAGGCCUGGAGUUGAGAAAAAGUUACAGCAGAAGCAGGCUCCGAGGAGAUCCUGCCCUUUCUAGGUCAUCUUAUUGGUGAUAAAAUGGAGAUUUACAAAAAACAACGGAGAUUGCAUGUAGGUUACCUGAGGACCAAGGAUUUCUCCAAAGAAGAUACACAAAUGACCGAUAAGUACAUAAAAAGAUGCUCAACAUCAUUAGACAAUAGACAAAGGCAAAUCAAAACCAUAAUGAGGAAAACAGAAGUAGAGUCACCACGGACAUAGAAAACAAACUCAUGGUUACUGGGGACAGGAUGUGGGAGGGAUAAAUUGGGAGAUUGGG